UACGUAGGGUGCGAGCGUUAAUCGGAAUUACUGGGCGUAAAGCGUGCGCAGGCGGUUCGUUAUGUCCGAUGUGAAAGCCCCGAGCUUAACUUGGGAAUGGCAUUGGAAACUGGCGGGCUGGAGUGCGGCAGAGGGGGGUGGAAUUCCACGUGUAGCAGUGAAAUGCGUAGAGAUGUGGAGGAACACCGAUGGCGAAGGCAGCCCCCUGGGCCGACACUGACGCUCAGGCACGAAAGCGUGGGGAUCAAACAGG
This 253-nucleotide ribosomal RNA is filed under the name uncultured bacterium. RNAcentral describes it as "partial 16S ribosomal RNA". It matches the Rfam family "Bacterial small subunit ribosomal RNA", at positions 524 to 776 of the family's 1533-position model. The record is from RNAcentral.